This 648-nucleotide ribosomal RNA is filed under the name Curvibacter sp. CCM-056. Its description in RNAcentral is "bacterial SSU rRNA". It matches the Rfam family "Bacterial small subunit ribosomal RNA", at positions 86 to 728 of the family's 1533-position model. The record is from RNAcentral. Lineage: Bacteria; Pseudomonadati; Pseudomonadota; Betaproteobacteria; Burkholderiales; Comamonadaceae.
UGGUGGCGAGUGGCGAACGGGUGAGUAAUGUAUCGGAACGUGCCCAGUCGUGGGGGAUAACGCAGCGAAAGCUGUGCUAAUACCGCAUACGAUCUAUGGAUGAAAGCGGGGGAUCGCAAGACCUCGCGCGAUUGGAGCGGCCGAUAUCAGAUUAGGUAGUUGGUGGGGUAAAGGCUCACCAAGCCGACGAUCUGUAGCUGGUCUGAGAGGACGACCAGCCACACUGGGACUGAGACACGGCCCAGACUCCUACGGGAGGCAGCAGUGGGGAAUUUUGGACAAUGGGCGCAAGCCUGAUCCAGCAAUGCCGCGUGCAGGACGAAGGCCUUCGGGUUGUAAACUGCUUUUGUACGGAGCGAAAAGGUCCUCUCUAAUACAGGGGGCUCAUGACGGUACCGUAAGAAUAAGCACCGGCUAACUACGUGCCAGCAGCCGCGGUAAUACGUAGGGUGCAAGCGUUAAUCGGAAUUACUGGGCGUAAAGCGUGCGCAGGCGGUUAUGUAAGACAGAGGUGAAAUCCCCGGGCUCAACCUGGGAACUGCCUUUGUGACUGCAUAGCUAGAGUACGGCAGAGGGGGAUGGAAUUCCGCGUGUAGCAGUGAAAUGCGUAGAUAUGCGGAGGAACACCCGAGUGGCGAAGGCAAUCCC